GUCCCUGUUUCUUUUUUGAUCAAAGUGGAAGUUGGGACACGCUGGAAUGAACUCCCAGUGUUGCACACUGCAGGUGUGGAGAGCCACAGUCCUUCAUUAUUACAGUUCUUGGUGUCUGAGCAAUUUAUAUAAAUAUAUAGGAGGAAAUGAAGAAUUGCUCUGGCAUCUGGGUUUUUUUUUUAGUCUGUUUGUUUGUUUCAGGUAGAUCCCAGAAUCUGUGCCUGUUUAAGCCAGAAUUUGAAAGUUACAAGAGUGUUAAUAAAUCACACAUUCCUACAUACUGCAUAGCAUGUACAGCUCAGAGAGACCAUGCAAUCUAAAAAAGUUUGAAUGCACCCAUAAUAUAAUGGAGGAUAUAGAUCUUCCUUGUUCUAUAGACUUCCUGUGUAUUCUUCAAAAAUAUUUUUUGUCUGAGAGAAACAAGCAAAGUCAAAAUCAACCUUUAAACUCAAGGAAAGCUACAGUUUGAACAUAGCUGCCAUCCUAUAAGACAGCUGCAGUGGAAGUUACACUUCCUAAUGGAACUGGAAAGCUUCAGGGAAACUAUAAAUGUCCCAGUCUUAAAUAGAACAUAUUUUCUGGUUUGGAAAAUAAUCUACUUUUCAAAUAUUUUAUUUUAUUCCUAAGAUGAGUGACAUCAAGCUUUUUCAAAUUUUUGGUUUACUGAAAAUCUGGGAGAGAAGAAGCAGGAGGAGAGCUGUUUCCAAAGUGAAACAGUAUUGCACAUGGUCCCUGGAGACUCAGCAUGCUUCUGCUGUCCUUCAGCCAUAAGACCAUUUACAUCAAAAUGUCAUUUUGUAGGGUUCCUCAACUACUGUUUAUUCAGCUCUCAGUCAAACUUCGAAGUCCUGUUACUCAGAACCUCAAAUCAGUCCAGAUCUAAACAGUUGAGAAGCUACUUCCAAAAUUGACAAAGAGCUAAAGAAGACAAGUUUUAACUGUUAGAUACCCUGGGGAAAAAAAAAAAAAAAAAGUUCAAAAUGGCAGGACAUCUGUUAUACAACUACUUAUCAAAGCAAGACAAAUUUACUUUUAUCAUGAAUAUAUUCAGAUCAAGAGGUAGAACCCACCCCCCUUUUUUUUCUCAUUUCCUGUUAUUGUUGCUGCAGCUGUAUAUUUCUUCUUCAAUUUCACUUUGUGCUUUCAAAAAAGAGCUAAGUUGUGACUCUUGGCUUAAAAUUGUGUUAAAAUUGUGAAUCUUGGUUUUGAAUUACUUGAUCACCGAAGACCAGUAUCAAAGUGAAAGGGGAGGGACGGAACGCUGCCAUGCUGCACCUCGAGUUUCCCAAAGCAAGCCAGCAGGAGAUGUGAGGAGCAGAAGUGACACAGAAAAAGGUCCUGAGUCCAGGCUUUGCAGCAGUUCUCCUUAUUCAGGAGGCAAAAUCCUCUUUCCAGGGCAUGGUGCAGGAAACAGCAGGACCGUUGGUGGGGGAGAUACUUAUGAUUAGAGCACACACCAGGGAAACUGAGGUCCUGCGAUGCUGGCCAGCCUCCUUCAGAUGGGAUUUCAACCAGUAACUUUGUUUUCCUGGAAGAUGCCUUAAAAGCAAAUAUGGAGAAGCUGCUGCGUCGCCCCACAGAAAACAGUACCAUGAGCUCAAGAGAGAAAACCAGUGAGAAACAGCUUCGUUCUCUGGCCUCUGUGGGAAAGAGGAAGCCCUGGGGUCUGCUCACAAUAACUGAAAAGACUUUUCAAAAUGAUAAGGAAAUACCAACACAUGAAUGAACAAGUCAACACACAACUUUUAUAAUGGAUAACAGAACAGAGCACUUCUGGAAUUAAACACAGCUGAACUGCAAGUAGCCUUAGAUGGGUAAUUUUAAUUACAUUUGGACAGAGACCAUUUUCCCGGUUUCAUCAAGUGGGAAUUUUUGCUAUUAAUAAUGUUGCAUUCUACUUUUUUUUAUAUGAGAGUGUGUUUUUGAGGCAAGUCUAAAACCAGAGUGGUUUCAUUUUAGAAAGAUUUAAUGAUCACUUAAUAAUUGCAACAUCCAGUCAUACAUAAAAUUUUGAACAGCUUUCUGAUAAUCAAAGGGUUAUUCUUCAUAUUUAAGAGUGUGCUAAAAGCUUAUGUUUAAAGUUUAAGAAUUAAUGAAACAAAUACCACCUCAUGGGUUUAGUAAAAGACUAUAUAUACAUAUAUAUAUAUAUGGGAGAAAUUAGGUUAAUGAGAAAUAUAAUGUGGUAUCUCUUCAGAAUAUAAAGAGAAUAUAAAUAAUUUUAAAAUUGUAGAGAUAAUUUUACAGACAGUAUUAUGCAUUAAGACUGGAAAGCGAUGCUUAUGAAAACUAACCAGAGUCCUUAUUCAUUAUGUGUACAAAUAAAGAAAUUUUAGAAAAUACAUAUUUGGAUAAAUAAUUUCAGCUACAUUUAACAUUGCAUUGUUAAUUGUGUAAAUAAAACAAAGCCAAUACUGUCACAUUAUCCAAGCUGUAUAGAGAGCAUGAUUACAUUCCCUAUAUUAUACGCAUUACUUUCAAAACUUCUAGAAAUAGUACGAGCUCAAAUGCUCUUCAAAAUUAGAACUGGAAGACAAUCUAUUCUUCCAUUAAUAGGUCACUUUACUUGUUAAAUCAAUCUCAGAAUUAAUACCUUAGGUUUCAUUUGAAACCUUCAUGAAAGUUUCAAAUUUUUUUACACUUAAAACUUUCAGGUAUGCACAACUGAUGAAGCAUCCUUCCAUAGCGAUUUUUAGGG
Molecule: long non-coding RNA, 2698 nt
Organism: Columba livia (rock pigeon)
Lineage: Eukaryota; Metazoa; Chordata; Aves; Columbiformes; Columbidae
Exons: 3
Source: RefSeq, a predicted model, not a curated record